CCUACGGGAGGCAGCAGUCGAGAAUCAUUCACAAUGGGGGAAACCCUGAUGGUGCGACGCCGCGUGGGGGAAUGAAGGUCUUCGGAUUGUAAACCCCUGUCAUGUGGGAGCAAAUUAACAAGAUAGUACCACAAGAGGAAGAGACGGCUAACUCUGUGCCAGCAGCCGCGGUAAUACAGAGGUCUCAAGCGUUGUUCGGAAUCACUGGGCGUAAGGCGUGCGUAGGCUGUUUCGUAAGUCGUGUGUGAAAGGCGCGGGCUCAACCCGCGGACGGCACAUGAUACUGCGAGACUAGAGUAAUGGAGGGGGAACCGGAAUUCUCGGUGUAGCAGUGAAAUGCGUAGAUAUCGAGAGGAACACUCGUGGCGAAGGCGGGUUCCUGGACAUUAACUGACGCUGAGGCACGAAGGCCAGGGGAGCGAAAGGGAUUAGAUACCCCUGUAGUC
Molecule: ribosomal RNA, 446 nt
Filed under: uncultured bacterium
Lineage: Bacteria
Description: partial 16S ribosomal RNA
Rfam family: Bacterial small subunit ribosomal RNA
Source: RNAcentral